UUAACGUAGAAGGUCAGGGUAAUUAACGUAGAAGGUUAGGAUAAUUAACGUAGAAGGUCAGGAUAGUUAACGUAGAAGGUCAGGGUAAUUAACGUAGAAGGUCAGGAUAAUUAACGUAGAAGGUCAGGAUUGUUAACGUAGAAGGUCAGGGUAAUUAACGUAGAAGGUCAGGGUAAUUAACGUAGAAGGUCAGGAUUGUUAACGUAGAAGGUCAGGGUAAUUAACGUAGAAGGUCAGGAUUGUUAACGUAGAAGGUCAGGGUAAUUAACGUAGAAGGUCAGGGUAAUUAACGUAGAAGGUCAGGGUAAUUAACGUAGAAGGUCAGGAUUGUUAACGUAGAAGGUCAGGGUAAUUAACGUAGAAGGUCAGGAUUGUUAACGUAGAAGGUCAGGGUAAUUAACGUAGAAGGUCAGGA
Molecule: long non-coding RNA, 415 nt
Organism: Oncorhynchus keta (chum salmon)
Lineage: Eukaryota; Metazoa; Chordata; Actinopteri; Salmoniformes; Salmonidae
Exons: 3
Source: RefSeq, a predicted model, not a curated record